UUUUUCAGCACUUCAUAAGAAAAAGAUGAGGUGUAGUCACAUCAGUUCUGACAUCAGGGAGGAGCUUCAUGAACUCUAAUCAUGUUAACUGGUUAGAGCACAGAAUAUCUUCAUUCAGCUAAAACCAUUCAUCAUGUUCACUGUUAUAUUCAUGUACCUGUGGCUUUCUGUAGGUGACUCCAUGGCAGAUUCAAUAGA
Long non-coding RNA from Silurus meridionalis, 198 nucleotides. RefSeq lists it as uncharacterized. Lineage: Eukaryota; Metazoa; Chordata; Actinopteri; Siluriformes; Siluridae. The transcript is spliced from 3 exons. The record is from RefSeq and is a predicted model, not a curated record.